CUUCAAGACUGGAAUGACCAGUAGAGGCAGAUUAUCAUCAAGCUUCCAGAUGCUGUGGGACCAGACCAGCUCAGAAAUCAGGGAGAUCUAUGGCGAGAAAUACUUUGCAUUUAAUCUGAAAAUGAUAAAUGGAUUGGACCGUAUGGGCAACAAGGACCUGUCUUUGGUUACUGACUGCAUGGAGCACGCUCUGACUGCCUGUCACCCUCGCACCCGAUACUCAGCUGGUUGGGAUGCUAAGCUCUUAUUUCUCCCCUUGAGCUACCUGCCCACAUUUCUUGCAGAUGGCCUUUGUUACUGGAUUUCCAUGAAGCCUGAGAAAGCUCUCUGAAUUCUUUACCUAUUUGUAUAGUUGGGAUAUGGAGGUAAAGAUUAAGGGAGGGAAUCCUUAGGAGAAAUUACAACAGUCAUAGCAGGGAGGUUAUUAUUCUAGAGUUCUUAGUCUACACACUUCAUCCCACUAAUUUUCCUGUGAUACUACUCAAGACUGGUGAUGACAAAUGAAAUAGCCAAUUAAGUCUGCCAAGGGAUUCAGAUAGUGUGCCCUCCCCAAUCCUUGAACGGCCUGAAUAAGUGUUUGCUACAGUGGAUCUUAAUGACCCAGGUGGAGUCAUCCAUCCUGGCUGCAUGUACAACUCCCUACAGGAACUUAGAAGAAUAGACUGCAUGUUGAGCUUGCCUUGUGACAUAAUCCAGCUGAAACAAAGGAUGGAUUCUGUGGGCUUUCCCUUUGUAUAUGAAGUGCUGAAUAAGAAACUGAACCUUGAUCAGAAAA
Grammomys surdaster is the source of this 775-nucleotide long non-coding RNA. RefSeq lists it as uncharacterized. The transcript is spliced from 2 exons. The record is from RefSeq and is a predicted model, not a curated record. NCBI's taxonomy places the organism in Eukaryota, Metazoa, Chordata, Mammalia, Rodentia, Muridae.